GGUUAAGUGACUAAGCGUACACGGUGGAUGCCUAGGCAGUCAGAGGCGAUGAAGGGCGUGCUAAUCUGCGAAAAGCGUCGGUAAGGUGAUAUGAACCGUUACAACCGGCGAUACCCGAAUGGGGAAACCCAGUGUGUUUCGACACACUAUCAUGUCAUGAAUACAUAGUGGCAUGAGGCGAACCGGGGGAACUGAAACAUCUAAGUACCCCGAGGAAAAGAAAUCAACCGAGAUUCCCCCAGUAGCGGCGAGCGAACGGGGAGGAGCCCAGAACCUGAAUCGGCUUGUGUGUUAGUGGAAGCGUCUGGAAAGUCGCGCAGUAAAGGGUGAUAGCCCCGUACACUAAAAUGCACAGGUCGUGAGUUCGAUGAGUAGGGCGGGACACGUGACAUCCUGUCUGAAUAUGGGGGGACCAUCCUCCAAGGCUAAAUACUCCUGACUGACCGAUAGUGAACCAGUACCGUGAGGGAAAGGCGAAAAGAACCCCGGCGAGGGGAGUGAAAUAGAACCUGAAACCGUGUACGUACAAGCAGUGGGAGCACCUUCGUGGUGUGACUGCGUACCUUUUGUAUAAUGGGUCAGCGACUUAUAUUUUGUAGCAAGGUUAACCGUAUAGGGGAGCCGUAGGGAAACCGAGUCUUAACUGGGCGAAUAGUUGCAAGGUAUAGACCCGAAACCCGGUGAUCUAGCCAUGGGCAGGUUGAAGGUUGGGUAACACUAACUGGAGGACCGAACCGACUAAUGUUGAAAAAUUAGCGGAUGACUUGUGGCUGGGGGUGAAAGGCCAAUCAAACCGGGAGAUAGCUGGUUCUCCCCGAAAGCUAUUUAGGUAGCGCCUCGUGAACUCAUCUUCGGGGGUAGAGCACUGUUUCGGCUAGGGGGCCAUCCCGGCUUACCAAACCGAUGCAAACUCCGAAUACCGAAGAAUGUUAUCACGGGAGACACACGGCGGGUGCUAACGUCCGUCGUGAAGAGGGAAACAACCCAGACCGCCAGCUAAGGUCCCAAAGUCAUGGUUAAGUGGGAAACGAUGUGGGAAGGCAUAGACAGCCAGGAUGUUGGCUUAGAAGCAGCCAUCAUUUAAAGAAAGCGUAAUAGCUCACUGGUCGAGUCGGCCUGCGCGGAAGAUGUAACGGGGCUAAACCAUGCACCGAAGCUGCGGCAGCGACGCUUAGGCGUUGUUGGGUAGGGGAGCGUUCUGUAAGCCGUUGAAGGUGGCCUGUGAGGGUUGCUGGAGGUAUCAGAAGUGCGAAUGCUGACAUAAGUAACGAUAAAGCGGGUGAAAAGCCCGCUCGCCGGAAGACCAAGGGUUCCUGUCCAACGUUAAUCGGGGCAGGGUGAGUCGACCCCUAAGGCGAGGCUGAAAAGCGUAGUCGAUGGGAAACAGGUUAAUAUUCCUGUACUUGGUGUUACUGCGAAGGGGGGACGGAGAAGGCUAGGCUAGCCGGGCGACGGUUGUCCCGGUUUAAGCGUGUAGGGGGUGUGACCUGGUAAAUCCGGUUACAUAUCAACCCUGAGGCGUGAUGACGAUGCACUACGGUGCAGAAGUAGUUGAUGCCCUGCUUCCAGGAAAAGCCUCUAAGCUCCAGGUAACAUUAAAUCGUACCCCAAACCGACACAGGUGGUCAGGUAGAGAAUACCAAGGCGCUUGAGAGAACUCGGGUGAAGGAACUAGGCAAAAUGGUGCCGUAACUUCGGGAGAAGGCACGCUGGCAUGUAGGUGAAGUCCUUCGCGGAUGGAGCUGAAGCCAGUCGAAGAUACCAGCUGGCUGCAACUGUUUAAUAAAAACACAGCACUGUGCAAACACGAAAGUGGACGUAUACGGUGUGACGCCUGCCCGGUGCUGGAAGGUUAAUUGAUGGGGUCAGCCGCAAGGCGAAGCUCUUGAUCGAAGCCCCAGUAAACGGCGGCCGUAACUAUAACGGUCCUAAGGUAGCGAAAUUCCUUGUCGGGUAAGUUCCGACCUGCACGAAUGGCGUAAUGAUGGCCAGGCUGUCUCCACCCGAGACUCAGUGAAAUUGAACUCGCUGUGAAGAUGCAGUGUACCCGCGGCAAGACGGAAAGACCCCGUGAACCUUUACUAUAGCUUGACACUGAACAUUGAGCCUUGAUGUGUAGGAUAGGUGGGAGGCUUUGAAGCGUGGACGCCAGUCUGCGUGGAGCCAUCCUUGAAAUACCACCCUUUAAUGUUUGAUGUUCUAACUCGGCCCCAUAAUCUGGGGUGAGGACAGUGUCUGGUGGGUAGUUUGACUGGGGCGGUCUCCUCCCAAAGAGUAACGGAGGAGCACGAAGGUUAGCUAAUCACGGUCGGACAUCGUGAGGUUAGUGCAAAGGCAUAAGCUAGCUUGACUGCGAGAGUGACGGCUCGAGCAGGUACGAAAGUAGGUCUUAGUGAUCCGGUGGUUCUGAAUGGAAGGGCCAUCGCUCAACGGAUAAAAGGUACUCCGGGGAUAACAGGCUGAUACCGCCCAAGAGUUCAUAUCGACGGCGGUGUUUGGCACCUCGAUGUCGGCUCAUCACAUCCUGGGGCUGAAGUAGGUCCCAAGGGUAUGGCUGUUCGCCAUUUAAAGUGGUACGCGAGCUGGGUUUAGAACGUCGUGAGACAGUUCGGUCCCUAUCUGCCGUGGGCGUUGGAAGAUUGAGAGGGGUUGCUCCUAGUACGAGAGGACCGGAGUGAACGCACCACUGGUGUUCGGGUUGUCAUGCCAAUGGCAUUGCCCGGUAGCUAAGUGCGGAAAAGAUAAGCGCUGAAAGCAUCUAAGCGCGAAACUUGCCUCAAGAUGAGUCUUCCCUGGGCCUUUAAGGUCCCUGAAGGAACGUUUAAGACUAAGACGUUGAUAGGCUGGGUGUGUAAGUGCAGCGAUGCAUUGAGCUAACCAGUACUAAUGAUCCGUGAGGCUUAACCUU
RNAcentral lists this ribosomal RNA (2908 nucleotides) under Serratia marcescens. Its description in RNAcentral is "23S ribosomal RNA". It matches the Rfam family "Bacterial large subunit ribosomal RNA". Lineage: Bacteria; Pseudomonadati; Pseudomonadota; Gammaproteobacteria; Enterobacterales; Yersiniaceae. The record is from RNAcentral.